RNAcentral lists this unclassified non-coding RNA (381 nucleotides) under uncultured bacterium. RNAcentral's name for it is "contains 16S-23S intergenic spacer region". The record is from RNAcentral.
UCCGGUUUGGCACCGGCAGUCUUCCUAGAGUCCCCGCCAUUACGCGCUGGCAACUAAGAACAGGGGUUGCGCUCGUUGCGGGACUUGACCAAACAUCUCACGACACGAGCUGACGACAGUCAUGCAGCACCUGUGUUCCCGCCAGCCGAACUGAAGGGUCCCAUCUCUGGAACCCAUACGGGACAUGUCAAGGGCUGGUAAGGUUCUGCGCGUUGCUUCGAAUUGAACCACAUGCUCCACCGCUUGUGCGGGCCCCCGUCAAUUCCUUUGAGUUUUAACCUUGCGGCCGUAAUCCCCAGGCGGGGAACUUAAUGCGUUAGCGGCGGCACGAGAGGAUCUAACCUCUCACACCUAGUUCCCAUCGUUUACAGCGUGGACUAC